Molecule: transfer-messenger RNA, 347 nt
Filed under: Bacilli
Lineage: Bacteria; Bacillati; Bacillota
Also listed under: 1 other name
Description: CALVVX01 sp944358825 Standard tmRNA
Rfam family: transfer-messenger RNA
About the family: Bacterial tmRNA, also known as 10Sa RNA or SsrA, is named for its dual tRNA and mRNA-like properties.
Source: RNAcentral
GGGGUCGGUUAUGGAUUCGACAGAAAUAUUUAGGGUUUAGAUAGCAAGUCGUUAUUCCACGUUACGGAAAAAUAAAAAUAACUGGAAACAGUAAUAGAAAUGCUGUAGCAUACGCAUAGUUAACAAGCUACAGGCUCUCGUUUUCUUUGCUUAUGGGAAAAAUUGAGGGUUCAUAUAAUAAGCUAUAUUAUUAGUAAUGACUAUAGCUAAUAAUGAAUAUAAUAGUCUAGCAAAUAAUUAGGUUGUCAAUUAACGAAAUUAUUUGUAAAUUUAAUAAUUGACUAAACUUGUAGAGGUUUAAAUCGCGGUAUUUUUGGACAGGGGUUCAACUCCCCUCGACUCCACCA